Molecule: ribosomal RNA, 478 nt
Filed under: uncultured bacterium
Lineage: Bacteria
Description: partial 16S ribosomal RNA
Rfam family: Bacterial small subunit ribosomal RNA
Source: RNAcentral
GAUGAACGCUGGCGGCGUGCCUAACACAUGCAAGUCGAACGGAGUCCAGCCUUUAAGACCUUCGGGUCAAAGAGGGGAAGACUGAGUGGCGGACGGGUGAGUAACACGUGGGCAACCUGGCUCAUAGAGGGGGAUAACAGAGAGAAAUUUCUGCUAAUACCGCAUAAGCACACACUGCCGCAUGGCAGAGGGUGAAAAAAGAAUGGCUAUGAGAUGGACCCGCGUCUGAUUAGCCAGUUGGCAGGGUAAGAGCCUACCAAAGCGACGAUCAGUAGCCGAUCUGAGAGGAUGAACGGCCACAUUGGGACUGAGACACGGCCCAAACUCCUACGGGAGGCAGCAGUGGGGGAUAUUGCACAAUGGGGGGAACCCUGAUGCAGCGACGCCGCGUGAGUGAAGAAGUAUUUCGGUAUGUAAAGCUCUAUCAGCAGGGAAGAUAAUGACAGUACCUGAAGAAGAAGCCCCGGCUAACUACGUG